RNAcentral lists this ribosomal RNA (506 nucleotides) under uncultured bacterium. Its description in RNAcentral is "bacterial SSU rRNA". It matches the Rfam family "Bacterial small subunit ribosomal RNA", at positions 32 to 507 of the family's 1533-position model. The record is from RNAcentral.
AAUCAACGCUGGCGGCGUGCCUAACACAUGCAAGUCGAGCGCGAAAAGGGGCUUCGGCCCCUAAGUAGAGCGGCGGACGGGUGAGUAACACGUGGGUAAUCUAUCCUCGGGCGGGGAAUAACCUCGGGAAACCGGGGCUAAUUCCGCAUAACAUCCCAAGUUCACAAGCGUUUGGGAUCAAAGCUGGGGACCCUUCGGGGCCUGGCGCCUGAGUGAGGAACCCGCGGCCGAUUAGCUUGUUGGUGGGGUAAUGGCUCACCAAGGCUACGAUCGGUAGCCGGCCUGAGAGGGCGGACGGCCACACUGGGACUGAGACACGGCCCAGACUCCUACGGGAGACAGCAGUGGGGAAUUUUUGGCAAUGGGGGAAACCCUGACCAAGCAACGCCGUGUGGAGGAUGAAGGCCUUCGGGUCGUAAACUCCUGUCAGAGGGGACGAAAGUAUCUGGGGUUAAUACCCUCAGGUGUUGACGGUACCCUACGAGGAAGCCCCGGCUAACUCCGUG